Molecule: ribosomal RNA, 517 nt
Filed under: uncultured bacterium
Lineage: Bacteria
Description: bacterial SSU rRNA
Rfam family: Bacterial small subunit ribosomal RNA
Source: RNAcentral
UGGGGAAUCUUGGACAAUGGGGGCAACCCUGAUCCAGCCAUGCCGCGUGAGUGAUGAAGGCCUUAGGGUCGUAAAGCUCUUUCGCCUGUGAAGAUAAUGACGGUAGCAGGUAAAGAAACCCCGGCUAACUCCGUGCCAGCAGCCGCGGUAAUACGGAGGGGGUUAGCGUUGUUCGGAAUUACUGGGCGUAAAGCGCACGUAGGCGGACCAGAAAGUUGGGGGUGAAAUCCCGGGGGCUCAACCCCGGAAACUGCCUCCAAAACUAUUGGUCUAGAGUUCGAGAGAGGUGAGUGGAAUUCCAAGUGUAGAGGUGAAAUUCGUAGAUAUUUGGAGGAACACCAGUGGCGAAGGCGGCUCACUGGCUCGAUACUGACGCUGAGGUGCGAAAAGUGUGGGGAGCAAAACAGGAUUAGAUACCCCUGGUAGUCCACACCGUAAAACGAUGAAAUGCCAGUCGUCGGGUAGCAUGCUAUUCGGUGACACACCUAACGGAUUAAGCAUUCCGCCUGGGGAGUAC